UCCUGAUCUGUGGUUUCUAAGCAUCAUACUGGCACUCAUCUUAGUCAGAUCAUGUACCACUAGAUUUGAUCAUCUAUGAUUUUUAUUGAAUCAUCUGUAUGGUAAUUCGGUCAUGAUUUGAUUAAAUCAUCUGAAAUAGAUUGAUCAAAUUGUCGGGCAGUAUUGCCAGAUCAGUUCUAUUGUAUCUCGUUAAUUUUUUUAUUCUCUGCUCUUCUCUCU
Molecule: long non-coding RNA, 219 nt
Filed under: Elaeis guineensis (African oil palm)
Lineage: Eukaryota; Viridiplantae; Streptophyta; Magnoliopsida; Arecales; Arecaceae
Description: long non-coding RNA (EGUI_LNC003267)
Source: RNAcentral